CAGCCGCCGCGGUAAUACGUAGGUCCCGAGCGUUGUCCGGAUUUAUUGGGCGUAAAGCGAGCGCAGGCGGUUAGAUAAGUCUGAAGUUAAAGGCUGUGGCUUAACCAUAGUACGCUUUGGAAACUGUUUAACUUGAGUGCAAGAGGGGAGAGUGGAAUUCCAUGUGUAGCGGUGAAAUGCGUAGAUAUAUUGAGGAACACCGGUGGCGAAAGCGGCUCUCUGGCUUGUAACUGACGCUGAGGCUCGAAAGCGUGGGGAGCAAACAGGAUUAGAUACCCGUGUAGUCCCUGUCUCUUAUACA
RNAcentral lists this ribosomal RNA (301 nucleotides) under uncultured bacterium. RNAcentral describes it as "partial 16S ribosomal RNA". It matches the Rfam family "Bacterial small subunit ribosomal RNA", at positions 509 to 808 of the family's 1533-position model. The record is from RNAcentral.